Long non-coding RNA from Mus musculus (house mouse), 1092 nucleotides. RefSeq annotates it as predicted gene, 42075. The transcript has 3 exons. Lineage: Eukaryota; Metazoa; Chordata; Mammalia; Rodentia; Muridae. The record is from RefSeq and is a predicted model, not a curated record.
UGCUGCGUUCUUCCUGGCCGGUCGCGAGAACGCCUUUUCUUGUUUGUGGUGAAGAUGAGAUCUCUCAACUUCCUGUCCCUGUUGCUUUCUGCCAUGCUUACCACAUGACUAUGGAGCUGUGAGUCAAAAUAAAGUCUCUCUUCCCUAAGUUGCAUUUGGUCGUGGUGUUUUAUCACAGCGACAAAAUAAUACACAAAACCACUACCAUGUGCUCAGAAUGUCUAUCUCAGAUUAAGAUCUGAGUAUCGAGAAAGUGAAGUGUGCAGAGGCCAGCACAGUCGCCCUUACAGCAGGACUCCAGGAGGACUCCAGGGAUCAUGGUUUGGAGGUGUUUAUGCCUCCAGUGGUUCCCAGCUGAAAACAUCUCUUGAAGGAUGGAUCAUAUAACCAGAAGAAUCACAUAUGAAUAACAUUAUCAGUGCCUUGCUCAGCCAUCAUCAGAGAAGCUUCCCCCUGCUGCAAAGGAGAGGAAAUAUAGAGACCCACAGGCUGGCCUUACACAUAGAGUGAAACACUCAGCCCUAAAUGGAUGUCUAUCAAAGCCCUUCCUCAGGGCUCAGGGAACUCCACAGAAGAGGAGACAGAAAGAACGUGAGAGCCAGAAGGUAUAGAGAGCACAAGAAAACAAGGACCUCUAAAUCAACAUGAACACAGCAUUUAUGAAUUCACAGAGUCUGAAGCGGCCUGCACAGGGCCUCCGUGGCUUUGCACCAGGUCCUCUGAGCUUACAUGAUGGCUUCUAGUUUAGUGUUUUUAUGUGAUCCUUGAGCAUGUUAGCAAGUGGGUCUCUGACCCUUGGGCCCUUUCUUGGGCUCUUUUUCUUCCAUUGGCCUGUCUUUGAUGUGAUAGUUUUUGUUUUAAUUUGCUAUGUUCUUAAAACUGAAUGGAUGAAUGAAUGUAAGCCUAGCCACUAGGGUAAAGAUUAACAAUGGAACUGUCAUUUAUAUCUUCCGGGAGAGGGGAAAAUCAGUUUUCUCCGGUGGAGUGACACUGGGUAUAUCAACCACUCCAGGACAAGACUCAUGUUCAGGAAUAGCUGACUAACAUGCAAUGGACUAUGCAACUUAUUGUGUGUGUGUGCAUGUGCUCUAU